GGAUGAACGCUGGCGGCGUGCCUACUCCAUGCAAGUCGAGCGAACGGCCGAGAAGCUUGCUUUUCUGAUGUUAGCGGCGGACGGGUGAGUAACACGUGGAUAACCUACCUAUAAGACUGGGAUAACUUCGGGAAACCGGAGCUAAUACCGGAUAAUAUUUUGAACCGCAUGGUUCAAAAGUGAAAGACGGUCUUGCUGUCACUUAUAGAUGGAUCCGCGCUGCAUUAGCUAGUUGGUAAGGUAACGGCUUACCAAGGCAACGAUGCAUAGCCGACCUGAGAGGGUGAUCGGCCACACUGGAACUGAGACACGGUCCAGACUCCUACGGGAGGCAGCAGUAGGGAAUCUUCCGCAAUGGGCGAAAGCCUGACGGAGCAACGCCGCGUGAGUGAUGAAGGUCUUCGGAUCGUAAAACUCUGUUAUUAGGGAAGAACAUAUGUGUAAGUAACUGUGCACAUCUUGACGGUACCUAAUCAGAAAGCCACGGCUAACUACGUG
Molecule: ribosomal RNA, 498 nt
Filed under: uncultured bacterium
Lineage: Bacteria
Description: partial 16S ribosomal RNA
Rfam family: Bacterial small subunit ribosomal RNA
Source: RNAcentral